GACGAACGCUGGCGGCGUGCUUAACACAUGCAAGUCGAACGGAAAGGCCCUGCUUUUGUGGGGUGCUCGAGUGGCGAACGGGUGAGUAACACGUGAGUAACCUGCCCUUGACUUUGGGAUAACUUCAGGAAACUGGGGCUAAUACCGGAUAGGAGCUCCUGCUGCAUGGUGGGGGUUGGAAAGUUUCGGCGGUUGGGGAUGGACUCGCGGCUUAUCAGCUUGUUGGUGGGGUAGUGGCUUACCAAGGCUUUGACCGGUAGCCGGCCUGAGAGGGGGACCGGGCACAAUGGGACUGAGAUACGGCCCAGACUCCUACGGGAGGCAGCAGGGGGGAAUAUUGCACAAUGGGCGGAAGCCUGAUGCAGCAACGCCGCGUGCGGGAUGACGGCCUUCGGGUUGUAAACCGCUGUCGCCUGUGACGAAGCGUGAGUGACGGUAAUGGGUAAAGAAGCACCGGCUAACUACGUG
RNAcentral lists this ribosomal RNA (468 nucleotides) under uncultured bacterium. Its description in RNAcentral is "partial 16S ribosomal RNA". It matches the Rfam family "Bacterial small subunit ribosomal RNA", at positions 28 to 507 of the family's 1533-position model. The record is from RNAcentral.